This 254-nucleotide ribosomal RNA is filed under the name uncultured bacterium. RNAcentral describes it as "partial 16S ribosomal RNA". It matches the Rfam family "Bacterial small subunit ribosomal RNA", at positions 524 to 776 of the family's 1533-position model. The record is from RNAcentral.
UACGUGGAGUGCGAGCGUCAUCCGGAUUUACUGGGCGUAAAGCGUACCGUCGGUGACCUGGUAAGUUCUUUGUCCAAUCCUGAAGCUUAACUUCAGAAAGGCAGGGAAAACUACUAGGAUUGAGUCUGUUCGGGGAACUUGGAAUUCUCGGUGGAGGGGUGAAAUCCGUAGAUAUCGAGAGGAACGCCAAGCGCGAAGGCAGGGUUCUAGAACACGACUGACACUCAGGGACGAAAGCUAGGGGAGCAAAAGGG